RNAcentral lists this ribosomal RNA (305 nucleotides) under uncultured bacterium. RNAcentral describes it as "bacterial SSU rRNA". It matches the Rfam family "Bacterial small subunit ribosomal RNA", at positions 333 to 636 of the family's 1533-position model. The record is from RNAcentral.
AUGGCCCUACGGGAGGCAGCAGUGAGGAAUAAUGGUCAAUGGGCGCGAGCCUGAACCAGUCAAGUCGCGUGAGGGAAGACGGUCCUAUGGAUUGUAAACCUCUUUUAUCGGGGAGCAAAAGACGCCACGCGUGGCGUUCCGAGAGUACCCGAAGAAAAAGCAUCGGCUAACUCCGUGCCAGCAGCCGCGGUAAUACGGAGGAUGCGAGCGUUAUCCGGAUUUAUUGGGUUUAAAGGGUGCGCAGGCGGAAGAUCAAGUCAGCGGUAAAAUUGAGAGGCUCAACCUCUUCGAGCCGUUGAAACUGG